This 255-nucleotide ribosomal RNA is filed under the name uncultured bacterium. Its description in RNAcentral is "partial 16S ribosomal RNA". It matches the Rfam family "Bacterial small subunit ribosomal RNA", at positions 526 to 779 of the family's 1533-position model. The record is from RNAcentral.
CGAAGGGUGCAAGCGUUACUCGGAAUUACUGGGCGUAAAGCGUGCGUAGGUGGUUGUUUAAGUCUGUCGUGAAAGCCCUGGGCUCAACCUGGGACUGCGAUGGAAACUGGGCGACUAGAGUGUGGUAGAGGGUAGCGGAAUUCCUGGUGUAGCAGUGAAAUGCGUAGAUAUCAGGAGGAACAUCCAUGGCGAAGGCAGCUACCUGGGCCAACACUGACACUGAGGCACGAAAGACGUGGGGAGCGAAACAGGAUU